AUUCUCCAAUUAUGGUUUGCAAGCUGCUUGCUAUACAAGGCAUCCUGCUGGCCUUCCGUUUUCUGCUAGUUUAAACAUUUCUACAACAGUCGGUGGCACAGUGAUGGAUACCUGGGAGCCUCCUGCAGGAACAUCUACUCUUCGAGACCUGAGUGGAUGCAGAGGCUCAGGUGGCGCUGUAAUGCCGGGUUCAGAGAUGCCCAACUUAGGGCCCUGCUCUACUGGAGUCUGUUCUCUGUCUGCAGUCCUCUCUAAUGUCACUGCAUGUGGGCCCGAGGAGGUUUGCCAAGCGGACAACACGUAAAUAUGUGCUCUUUAUAUCAGGAAUAAAGGUCUGACUGAUUUGAAUAAAGUGUCCCAUGUGAUCGAACCCUCCAUGAGAGAGUGAGGAUAUUAUCCACCUGAGGAUUAUUGCAGUUAUUGAUGAAUCUGUUCCUAUUUCUAUUACCCCUUUCCACCAAAGCAGUUCCAGGGUCAGUUCAGAGCUAGUGCCCGAUAGCUCACCAGUCCUUUCAUUGUUUCCAUGAGCAAAACUGGUUGGUGUUAGGAACCAGAGCACUGCUGAACUGGAACCAAGAACCAGAUCUGUGUGGAGGCUGGGUCAGAUCACUAGAGCCGUAGAGAUACGUUCGCUCUCACGGCCCGUUUUGAGGAGCAGCACGACCCGUUCUCCUGUUGUUUUCAUACCAGCUUUCAGGUGUGAUCACUACAUACUGUAGGCUACACAAGUUUUCAGAUCAGAUCACAAGUGAAAUCCUAUUGAAAGAGCGCCGGUAGAAAACGGAAAAUGACUCAAUGAUAGCAACAUGUACUCAUACAAAGCAUUUAUGGUGAAUAAUUAAAACGCCGUAACCAUCUAAUGUUCAUAUCAUGUGUUAUAUAUUUUAAAUAAGUUUAAUUUAGUUUGUUGGCUCUUAAUCUGGUUAUUGCUUCUUCAGACUGGCUAUGCUAACAUCAUCCAUAUGAUACAGGGAAACGUUUGGCAGUUAACGUCAAACAUUGUACAUUAAAACUGAACAAAAUAUGAAUCACUGGGGAAAUCUGCAUCUGUUGCUUUAGUGACAGUCAGCAGUGAAUUACUGACUGUCACUAAAGCAACGGUGAAUGCCUCUGAAUCCUAGUGGGAACAGUUCAACCUGGAUCUGAAGAAGAGCAACGAGAGCACAGCUCCA
Molecule: long non-coding RNA, 1172 nt
Organism: Trematomus bernacchii (emerald rockcod)
Lineage: Eukaryota; Metazoa; Chordata; Actinopteri; Perciformes; Nototheniidae
Exons: 3
Source: RefSeq, a predicted model, not a curated record